RNAcentral lists this ribosomal RNA (253 nucleotides) under uncultured bacterium. Its description in RNAcentral is "partial 16S ribosomal RNA". It matches the Rfam family "Bacterial small subunit ribosomal RNA", at positions 524 to 776 of the family's 1533-position model. The record is from RNAcentral.
UACGGAGGGCGCAAGCGUUGUUCGGAUUUACUGGGCGUAAAGCGCGUGUAGGCGGGUCAGUAAGUUGGGGGUGAAAUCCCGGAGCUCAACUCCGGAACUGCCUUCAAAACUGGCGACCUGGACUCAAGCAGAGGCAAGUGGAAUUGCGAGUGUAGAGGUGAAAUUCGUAGAUAUUCGCAGGAACACCAGUGGCGAAGGCGACUUGCUGGGCUUGUAGUGACGCUGAGACGCGAAAGCGUGGGGAGCAAACAGG